Molecule: unclassified non-coding RNA, 416 nt
Filed under: uncultured Tuber
Lineage: Eukaryota; Fungi; Ascomycota; Pezizomycetes; Pezizales; Tuberaceae
Description: sequence contains ITS2
Rfam family: 5.8S ribosomal RNA (bases 1-155)
Source: RNAcentral
AACUUUUUACAACGGAUCACUUGGUUCUGGCAUCGAUGAAGAACGCAGCGAAAUGCGAUAAGUAAUGCGAAUUGCAGAAUUCCAGUGAGUCAUCGAAUCUUUGAACGCACAUUGCGCCCUUUGGCAUUCCUUAGGGCAUGCCUGUUCGAGCGUCACUAACAACCAUCUCACAGAAAAUGUGGUAUUGGCUAAAGUGUGUAACACUGAUAGUGUGCUCUUCUCACUUAGCUGAAAUGGAUUAGCCAGAGAAGUAUAUCAUGGCAACAGACUCUAAGAGUGUUUUUGAAAUGCUAAACUAGUCUGUGGCAGGUUUGAAUCUGAGCUACAAGGACCCCCAUUUAGUCCAAAUUGAAUAGGUUGACCUCGGAUCAGGUAGGGAUACCCGCUGAACUUAAGCAUAUCAAUAAGCGGAGGCU